AUGUUGUAGCGGUCAUGUAGCAAUGGUGGUGUGAUGGGUAUUCUUUGGAUAAUUAAACUUUGGGAAGAAAAAGAACCUAUCUUCAUAAGAAGUUGUCUUGGUUUUUGAAAUGACUGAAGCUACUCCUAUUCCCUUGUGCAAAGAAAGUGGUUAAUUCUCUCCCAGGAUAAUGAGGUGAAUCAGUCAACCACGGAGGCAGCUGAGGGCCAGAGCCAUUGCGAGGGGAGCGGUGGGUGA
Molecule: long non-coding RNA, 237 nt
Organism: Oxyura jamaicensis (ruddy duck)
Lineage: Eukaryota; Metazoa; Chordata; Aves; Anseriformes; Anatidae
Exons: 3
Source: RefSeq, a predicted model, not a curated record